This 71-nucleotide transfer RNA is filed under the name Marmota monax (woodchuck). RNAcentral describes it as "tRNA.Ala". It matches the Rfam family "tRNA". From Rfam's summary of the family: Transfer RNA (tRNA) molecules are approximately 80 nucleotides in length. Their secondary structure includes four short double-helical elements and three loops (D, anti-codon, and T loops). The record is from RNAcentral. Lineage: Eukaryota; Metazoa; Chordata; Mammalia; Rodentia; Sciuridae.
GGGGUUGUGGCUCAGCGGUAGAGCGCCCGCUUAGCAUGUUGGAAGUCCUGUGUUCGAUCCUCAGCACCACA